GACGAACGCUGGCGGCGUGCUUAACACAUGCAAGUCGAACGGAAAGGCCCUGCUUUUGUGGGGUGCUCGAGUGGCGAACGGGUGAGUAACACGUGAGUAACCUGCCCUUGACUUUGGGAUAACUUCAGGAAACUGGGGCUAAUACCGGAUAGGAGCUCCUGCUGCAUGGUGGGGGUUGGAAAGUUCCGGCGGUUGGGGAUGGGCUCGCGGCUUACCAGCUUGUUGGUGGGGUAGUGGAUUUCCAAGGGUUUGAAGGGUAGCCCGCCUGAGCGGGUGAACGGGCACAUUGGGACUGAGGUACGCCCCAGACUGCUACGGGAGGCAACAGUGGGGAAUAUGACGGAAUGGGGCGGAGCCAGAUGCGGAAACGCCGCGAGCGGAAAACCGUCCUUCGGGUUGAAAACCGCUUUGGCCUGUAACGAAGCGUUAGUGACGGUAAUGGGUAAGAAAGCCCCGGCUAACUACGUG
Molecule: ribosomal RNA, 468 nt
Filed under: uncultured bacterium
Lineage: Bacteria
Description: partial 16S ribosomal RNA
Rfam family: Bacterial small subunit ribosomal RNA
Source: RNAcentral